Molecule: long non-coding RNA, 312 nt
Filed under: Cricetulus griseus (Chinese hamster)
Lineage: Eukaryota; Metazoa; Chordata; Mammalia; Rodentia; Cricetidae
Description: lncRNA (ENSCGRG00015033857.1)
Source: RNAcentral
ACAGAAGGAAGAUAUGUGAAAACAGCAGGCAUGGCGUAUGGGAACUUAAGCCACAGAGAGAGACCUGAGCUGACACCAGCCCUGACCCCUGAUCUCAGACUCCCAGGAUAUUGAAUUUUGCAGCCAGCCUGCUGGAUCGCAUUUGUUUUUGGAUUGAUUGCAUUCAUCUUUCAGAACAGCUUCUCUGCUCCUUUGACAGACAGUUGUGGGGGUCAGCUACGGUGAAAAAGAACCUGACAACAGCAGGCCUUCUCUGUUUGUCUUCUUAGAAUGCUACAGUAACAUCAAUCCGUCUAGAGGUCUGACUGAAAG